RNAcentral lists this ribosomal RNA (465 nucleotides) under Vreelandella stevensii. RNAcentral describes it as "partial 16S ribosomal RNA". It matches the Rfam family "Bacterial small subunit ribosomal RNA", at positions 338 to 795 of the family's 1533-position model. The record is from RNAcentral. Lineage: Bacteria; Pseudomonadati; Pseudomonadota; Gammaproteobacteria; Oceanospirillales; Halomonadaceae.
CCUACGGGGGGCAGCAGUGGGGAAUAUUGGACAAUGGGGGGAACCCUGAUCCAGCCAUGCCGCGUGUGUGAAGAAGGCCCUCGGGUUGUAAAGCACUUUCAGUGAGGAAGAACGCCUGGUGGUUAAUACCCAUCAGGAAAGACAUCACUCACAGAAGAAGCACCGGCUAACUCCGUGCCAGCAGCCGCGGUAAUACGGAGGGUGCGAGCGUUAUUCGGAAUUACUGGGCGUAAAGCGCGCGUAGGUGGCUUGAUAAGCCGGUUGUGAAAGCCCCGGGCUCAACCUGGGAACGGCAUCCGGAACUGUCAAGCUAGAGUGCAGGAGAGGAAGGUAGAAUUCCCGGUGUAGCGGUGAAAUGCGUAGAGAUCGGGAGGAAUACCAGUGGCGAAGGCGGCCUUCUGGACUGACACUGACACUGAGGUGCGAAAGCGUGGGUAGCAAACAGGAUUAGAUACCCUAGUAGUC